GUACACAUUACUGGAUUUAAAUUUUCCAAGGACUGCCUGGUCUAACUCUAUGCGUCUGUACAAAAAUAAAAGCUAUGUUCUGUUUCUAAAUUAGCAUUUAUUCUUGUGUAUAGUUGUGUGUGUUUUAUUUAUUUAUUUGGGUGGAUCACUCUAUUAUUUGUAGUCUGUUGAUAUUGAAAUUAUAAACUGUAAGUCUAUUUAUUUAUAUUUUUUGGAGUUUGGUAAGUAAGGCUUGCAUGCUAAAAGUAAAUGAUUCAAAGCAAAUCAAUGCUUGGGUAUGUUCAUGUUGGAA
Molecule: unclassified non-coding RNA, 292 nt
Filed under: Hevea brasiliensis (rubber tree)
Lineage: Eukaryota; Viridiplantae; Streptophyta; Magnoliopsida; Malpighiales; Euphorbiaceae
Source: RNAcentral